CUUAUACUUCCUACGUCCGAAAAUUCUUGUCUUAAAUUUGUCUAAAAACGAAUGUAUCUAAAUACUAAACCGUAGCUAGAUACAUUCAUAUUUAGAUAAAUGUAAGACAAGAAUUUUGAGACAGAUGGAGUAAUAA
This is a non-coding RNA of Hordeum vulgare subsp. vulgare (domesticated barley), 136 nucleotides long. Lineage: Eukaryota; Viridiplantae; Streptophyta; Magnoliopsida; Poales; Poaceae. The record is from Rfam.